This 413-nucleotide long non-coding RNA is filed under the name Coffea arabica (coffee). Its description in RNAcentral is "long non-coding RNA (CARA_LNC006816)". Lineage: Eukaryota; Viridiplantae; Streptophyta; Magnoliopsida; Gentianales; Rubiaceae. The record is from RNAcentral.
AAAUAAGAGCCUUAGUGAUCAUAAUUUUAAACGUCAAAAGGAAAUGGAUUUUCUCAACGGGCUAUUCUUUACUUUGGUUGUCAUGAAAAAUAAGAAUGAUGCUUUGGCCGUUGUUUCUACUAUCCAAACACUAUCCAUUCUUUGCAUCCUCGUUUGAGCCUAAAUUGGUGGUUCGUUUCAAAAGCACUUAUGAUCGCACCCCCACACUGGGGAAGGAGAUUUGAGAAUUGAAAAAAUGGCAAAGAUGCUCAAAAUUUUUGCAAGAGAAAAAUUACAAGUUGGGGGAAUUUGACUCUACCAUUGAUAUUUUGGUCUUCAAUAUCAAAAAGAAACAGGGGCCAUCUACACUCCAAAUUAGGGAGUUUUCAAUUUUAUCAUUGACAUUGGGAUAUCAGUAUUGAUAAAAAAAAAAA